UUCCCCCAGUGGGCGGAGAGACACCUGGUUGGUGGUGUUGUUACAUCAGUCAGGGGCAGAGCAGGUGGCAGGCCUUUGUCAUUCUAGCUUGAUGUCUGGCUUGGUGGCCAAAGCUGUUUCAUGCCUAGGACACAUAA
Rattus norvegicus (Norway rat) is the source of this 137-nucleotide small nucleolar RNA. Ensembl annotates it as small nucleolar RNA SNORA48. The record is from Ensembl. NCBI's taxonomy places the organism in Eukaryota, Metazoa, Chordata, Mammalia, Rodentia, Muridae.